GGAUAUGUGACUGAGUGGUUUAAAGUGUAUUAUUUGAGCUAAUAUAAUCGUAAGAUUCGUGCGUUCGAAUCGCACCAUAUCCG
This 83-nucleotide transfer RNA is filed under the name Intestinozyma alai. RNAcentral's name for it is "Candida alai tRNA-Ser". It matches the Rfam family "tRNA". From Rfam's summary of the family: Transfer RNA (tRNA) molecules are approximately 80 nucleotides in length. Their secondary structure includes four short double-helical elements and three loops (D, anti-codon, and T loops). Lineage: Eukaryota; Fungi; Ascomycota; Pichiomycetes; Serinales; Debaryomycetaceae. The record is from RNAcentral.